This 465-nucleotide ribosomal RNA is filed under the name uncultured bacterium. RNAcentral describes it as "partial 16S ribosomal RNA". It matches the Rfam family "Bacterial small subunit ribosomal RNA", at positions 28 to 507 of the family's 1533-position model. The record is from RNAcentral.
GACGAACGCUGGCGGCGUGCUUAACACAUGCAAGUCGAACGGAAAGGCCCUGCUUGCAGGGUCCUCGAGUGGCGAACGGGUGAGUAACACGUGGGUGAUCUGCCCUGCACUUCGGGAUAAGCCUGGGAAACUGGGUCUAAUACCGGAUAGGAGCCAUUUUUAGUGUGAUGGUUGGAAAGUUUUUUCGGUGUAGGAUGAGCUCGCGGCCUAUCAGCUUGUUGGUGGGGUAAUGGCCUACCAAGGCGGCGACGGGUAGCCGGCCGGAGAGGGUGGACGGCCAAAUUGGGACUGAGAUCCGGCCCAGACGCCUGCGGGAGGCAGCGGUGGGGAAUAUUGCACAAUGGGCGCAAGCCUGAUGCAGCGACGCCGCGUGGGGGAUGACGGCCUUCGGGUUGUAAACUCCUUUCGCUAGGGACGAAGCUUUUUGUGACGGUACCUAGAGAAGAAGCACCGGCUAACUACGUG